RNAcentral lists this ribosomal RNA (508 nucleotides) under uncultured bacterium. RNAcentral describes it as "bacterial SSU rRNA". It matches the Rfam family "Bacterial small subunit ribosomal RNA", at positions 49 to 518 of the family's 1533-position model. The record is from RNAcentral.
UAAGACAUGCAAGUCGAACGGAAGUCGUUAUAAUGAUUUUGAUUUAGAUUGAAGAUUCGUCUGAUAUGAAGAAGAUGAUGACUUAUAACAAUGGCUUUAGUGGCGGACUGGUGAGUAACGCGUAAGCAAUCUGCCUAUUAGAGGGGAAUAACAGUGAGAAAUCACUGCUAAUACCGCAUAUGCCAUAGUUAUCACAUGAUAGUAGUGGGAAAGGAGUAAUCCGCUAAUAGAUGAGCUUGCGUCUGAUUAGCUAGUUGGUGGGGUAACGGCCUACCAAGGCGACGAUCAGUAGCCGGACUGAGAGGUUGAACGGCCACAUUGGGACUGAGAUACGGCCCAGACUCCUACGGGAGGCAGCAGUCGGGAAUAUUGCGCAAUGGAGGAAACUCCUGACGCAGUGACGCCGCGUAUAGGAUGAAGGUUUUCGGAUUGUAAACUAUUGUCGUUAGGGAAGAUAAAAGACAGUACCUAAGGAGGAAGCUCCGGCUAACUACGUGCCAGCCGCCGC